Molecule: long non-coding RNA, 489 nt
Organism: Papaver somniferum (opium poppy)
Lineage: Eukaryota; Viridiplantae; Streptophyta; Magnoliopsida; Ranunculales; Papaveraceae
Exons: 3
Source: RefSeq, a predicted model, not a curated record
AGUCAAAAUCAACAUGGAGAAAUUUGAUCAGUUGAAAAUAACAAAUCGAUCUUCCCAUAAAGAAGAACAAUUGAUUCUCUCGCUCACAUCCGGCAUAACGAGUGGAUUUUGAAAACUUUAAUUCCUCAAUUUGGAGCAAACGAAAAUCAGAAAUAAAAUUGGGAAAGGGAGCUAGAUCGUGGAGAGAAAAAAACUUAAAUCCGAGAAUAUACUUCCGCUCGAUCUUUUUUCCAGGUUCUCUUAAUCUUCUUCCACUAGAACAUACAUCUCUGACCAAUCAACUACUCCGAGAUUAUGAAAAUUUGGCUAUUGUAGGUCGCCGGGGUUUUAAUCUAUUCAUAACGUUUUGGUUAAAAAAGGGUGAUUUGGGAUCAGAUGAAAAUUGAAGAAUCUACAUAAGAUCGCAAGUGUCAUUUUCAUCUGUAGAUACGCGGAGUCUUUCCCAAGACAAAUCCUCGGUCCAGCCUGCACAAACAGAAGGCACAUGUA